GACGAACGCUGGCGGCGUGCUUAACACAUGCAAGUCGAACGGAAAGGCCCUGCUUUUGUGGGGUGCUCGAGUGGCGAACGGGUGAGUAACACGUGAGUAACCUGCCCUUGACUUUGGGAUAACUUCAGGAAACUGGGGCUAAUACCGGAUAGGAGCUCCUGCUGCAUGGUGGGGGUUGGAAAGUUUCGGCGGUGGGGGAUGGACUCGCGGCUUAUCAGCUUGUUGGUGGGGUAGUGGCUGACCAAGGCUUUGACGGGUAGCCGGCCUGAGAGGGUGACCGGCCACAUUGGGACUGAGAGACGGCCCAGACUCCUACGGGAGGCAGCAGUGGGGAAUAUUGCACAAUGGGCGGAAGCCUGAUGCAGCAACGCCGCGUGCAGGAUGACGGCCUUCGGGGUGUAAACCGCUUUCGCCUGUGACGAAGCGUGAGUGACGGUAAUGGGUAAAGAAGCACCGGCUAACUACGUG
This 468-nucleotide ribosomal RNA is filed under the name uncultured bacterium. Its description in RNAcentral is "partial 16S ribosomal RNA". It matches the Rfam family "Bacterial small subunit ribosomal RNA", at positions 28 to 507 of the family's 1533-position model. The record is from RNAcentral.